UCAACUGCGACCCCAGGUCAGCGGGAUUACCCGCUGAG
RNAcentral lists this ribosomal RNA (38 nucleotides) under Erica vestita. RNAcentral describes it as "partial 28S ribosomal RNA". Lineage: Eukaryota; Viridiplantae; Streptophyta; Magnoliopsida; Ericales; Ericaceae. The record is from RNAcentral.